UCCGUAGGUGAACCUGCGGAAGGAUCAUUAUCGAGGGGAACAGGCCCUCGUUGUCCGGGGGCCUGAUCUUUUUCCAUCCGUGUGGAAUCGUACCCUGUUGCUUCGGCGGGUCAGCCCCUAGGGGCGCCGCCGGGGAAUCGUGGCCCUUUUUUUGAACUGCUGGUGUGUCUUUUGGAAAAGAAUUGCGAGUCUGAAUCAGAAAUGGAAGAAUGAUACAAAACUUUCAACAAUGGAUCUCUUGGUUCCGGCAUCGAUGAAGAACGCAGGGAAAUGCGAUAAGUAAUGUGAAUUGCAGAAUUCCGUGAAUCAUCGAAUCUUUGAACGCAUAUUGCGCCCGUUGGGACUCCAACGGGCAUGCCUGUCCGAGCGUCAUCACCGUCCUUCCAGCCUGCCCCGGGGGGGUGCAAUACGGUUGGGUCUUGGGGGAUCGUCCGGGGGAUCGAUCCCGGACGAGCCCCGAAAGCUAGUUGACGGGGCCGGAUCCGGGCCUGGAGCGCAUGGGGUUCUGAGGGCGACAGCGUCCUCCCCGCUUUCCACAGACCGGAUCGGUGCUCCGUCCCCCGUCGAUAGGGGAAUACGACGAUGGCAUCAGGGGUUGGACCUCGGG
This 607-nucleotide ribosomal RNA is filed under the name uncultured fungus. Its description in RNAcentral is "eukaryotic LSU rRNA". The stretch from base 219 to 372 matches the Rfam family "5.8S ribosomal RNA". Lineage: Eukaryota; Fungi. The record is from RNAcentral.